CACCACUCAAGCUCAGCUUGGUAUUGAGGGCCGCCCCGGUGGGGCGCCCCCGAAAAACAGCGGCGGUGCGGCCGGAUCUUCCAGCGCAGUGACUUAUAAUCUCGUUGCGAGGAUCCGAUCGUCCCGGCCGGACAACCCCCAAUUUUUUCUAU
This 152-nucleotide unclassified non-coding RNA is filed under the name uncultured Lecanoromycetes. Its description in RNAcentral is "sequence contains ITS2". The record is from RNAcentral. Lineage: Eukaryota; Fungi; Ascomycota; Lecanoromycetes.